This is a long non-coding RNA of Bombus pyrosoma, 5072 nucleotides long. RefSeq lists it as uncharacterized. NCBI's taxonomy places the organism in Eukaryota, Metazoa, Arthropoda, Insecta, Hymenoptera, Apidae. The record is from RefSeq and is a predicted model, not a curated record. The transcript has 3 exons.
AAUGUGAAAAGUGGCGAGGAUUUUAAAUCGGCACACGUUGGAACAUAGGAUUUACUAAAGUGACAAUAGACAAAAUAUGGUGGGAUAAUACCUAGACAUAGAGUGAAAAGAAUUGAUUUCCAAUUUCGGUAACGUAAGCAGUUUACACGCUUCUGUUUGUCGCAUACGAUUUGUGAAUACAAGAUUAUUUUAUCGUGGUCUCCUUUUGAUGUUUAGCAAACCUAGCUUACGUGGUUCGCAUUUUCGUAUCACAGAACGGUAACUAAACGUAACGUUCACGUAACGUCUUUGUUUUUACGUAAGGAAGUCGAUUAUUCGAUUUCGAUUUCUUCGAUCUAGAUUUUUCAUGCAAUCUCUAUAAAUAUUAUUAUAUAUAAUUAUAAAAAAUAUAUAAUACUUUUAAUAUCCAUAAGUAGUAACACAUUGCGAAAUAGUCGCGAAAAAUGAUUCUUAAUAUUAAUUUACAAUUUUUACAGAUUUAAGAUAUAGUGAAGAGAAUAUAAAAAUGACUAAUUAUCCUUAGCGUAUUCAGUAGAUGAGAAAUUUUUAAAGGUUAAAUUUUCCAUUUAUUAUUCAUUCAUAAGUAAGAAGGGUAAUUAAUCAUCCUUGUAAACGCAAGCGAUGAUUUCAGUGUCUUGGGGUGAUCUCAGAAACAUUCAAAAGAAUUUGUUAUUCUAACGAAAAAAUUAUCAUCAUCAUCACCGUCAUUACUGGUAUUGCGUGUGAAAAUAUUUAGAGUGCAACCAUAGUUAACGAACUAUGAACACUCACGAAACGGAUGAUUUCUAAUAAAUACGUACGCUGACUGGACUUCCACGAUAAAUCUUUCACUCGAAUUUUCCAAACAGAUUUCGCCGUUCGUCCUUUCAAUUUGCGAUUUAAUUACUACUUACUGCAUUUUUCUUUAAUCACAUUAAUUUGAUUUACUAUCUUUUUAAUUAUAAUAUGGAGGCAUAAAUUGUUUUCUGUUAAUUAACUCAUAACUAGUUUCCGUUUCAAACAAUUUAAAAUUACAAAUUUCUCUAUUUCGAAUAAUUUGAUAUUAAAUCAAUUUUAUUUUCAGCAAUUUAUGAAAUACAUUAGAUUCAUUUUCAGAUUCAUAUUCUUCUUUUUCUAAUUGGUACGCACUUCUACCAAUAUAUACUUAUGAUUUUGUCAAUUACAGCUAAAAUUGAAUUCCGCAUUCUGUUAUAUUUCAAACGCAAACCAAUAUUUGUUGCAUUUAACAAUCAAUUCAAAUAAUACAGUUUUGCGGAUAACAAUACGGCUUCCGACUGUGCAUUGGCUGUUACACUAGCGUGAAGUUAUUCAAUUUAUCGAUAGAAAAGAUAUCAUAUCCAACAUGGUGAUCAAGAAAUUAAAAUCGAAGAGGGAAUUGAGAAUUGGAAUGUGAUAAUAAAAAUCUUUUUCAGUGUUCAAAUAUUACUCCAUUGUUUACUACAUAAUCUGCUACACAAUUGCAUUACUAUUACUAAAGGCAGAUAAUAAGUCGUCUGAUGGAAGAACAGUUUUAUUAAAUAAAGGCUUACUCAAUUUACUCUAUAAUCAUAGAGAGUUCCAAGUUCUGCUUUGCUUAACAAUGCUACAAUAUUGCAGAAGCGUCGUUGCAAUUAUCCGAAAAGUGGGGAAACACUCUUUGGUAUUGUUCCAAGCGUCUUCGUUAGCAAUAACAAACUGGUUAUAUUCCGUUUCGACAGAAUUAUUUGUCAAACGCAAAUUGAAAACAUCGUAUAGAACAAACAGCUACAAUGAAACUUCUUAACUUCACUUCAAAAUUGAAGAGUACAUAAAUUCUCAGAUGAACGAACAUAUUAGUAACCUGAAAGACCAUAAAUGAUAAACAGUAUAGUUCUAGCUUCAAAAUUGGAACCACAGAUCUCAAAUUAAAGCAACAUACUUUCAAUCACGGAUCUCGAUGCCUGUGCGGUACUGAACGAGUUACCGACUUUCCUUCGUUGAAAGAAUCUUGCCAAAACGAUGCCGCGAUCGUACUACUGACAUCAUUCUGAUUACAUUAUGCUGUACAUACGAUUUACAUCGCGGAAGAUCGCGUGCCGGACACGGGCUGUGGUCUUUCUGCUUUCUUCGUCGUUCCCGCAAUGGAAACGGGCCCAUAGACUGUGAAAUCCAAUACAUACACCGAGUGCAAAAUGUGGAAUUACAGGAUGCAAUAAUGGCCCAGUAAUGGCAGAGAACAAUAGAAAAGUUUCACAUCGAUAUCUUCUUUCAUUUUCUUUCACAAAAGUUGGCUAAAAAUUCCUGGGAAUUUCGUAAAAAUUAUUAAAUGAUUCGCAUCAACAAAACUUGCUUCUUGGUUUUGAUCAAGUAAAUAUUACUUAUUCAUCAUAUUCAAUUUUAUUUGUUCACAGUAAAAUAAUAAAACGCAGUUAGUUAUAAUUAAAUCUACUCUGAAACUAACUGAAAUAACUAAAUCUAAUAUUUAGAGAAUAAAAAUAAUAAAUGAAACAUAAAAAUCUAGCAUAUUUGCAAAAAGUACAAAAAUAUUAUUAAAUAUAAAGUUUUAUGAUAUAUAAUCUUAAGCGAGCAAUAUUUAAAUAACAGUGCAGAAGUAAAAGAACAUUAUUCAAAUAACUAAUUUUCAUUCCUACUGUGUAUACGGACGUUCGUAAUUUACAAUCGACUCGCAUUGCAUCACAGUAUUAUGCGAAUCGGAUUCCCGUGACGGCUUUCUGAUCAAAAUUUCGGUCACCGUACAGCGAACGUCGUAAAAUCGGUGCGGCCUGGUGUUACACAAGCCUUAAAGCAGUUUCUUAUGAGCUGUUUCGAAGGAACAGGCCACUAGACGCUUGGCGGAACUCUCGCACUGAUUUAUUUAUUAUCAGCGAGUUCUUUUUCUUGCAGCAGAAAGAGCACUUUAAAUAUCGUUUGAGAGGAAAACUUUUCCUCGUUCUGAGAAAGAUAUUACUUGAAUCGAGAAGCUUUGUUGUGUUCAUAUGAAAAAAAGAAAAGGUAAAGAAAGGUAGAAUGCUACUGAAGCGCAUUUUGUUGUGGAAUUGAUGACAGGUGAAUAUGAAGGAUACAGUUCAUUAAUCCUUGUAUUUACAUUGUGUUCAUGAAUUAUUAAACCUGAAUUGAUGGACUGAAUUUCAUCACGGACUCCGCAACCGUGUUGAUACAUAUUUCGAUAUCAGAACAUCGAUCACGUAGUAUGUCUUUUGUCAGUUUAUGUAUAGUGGUUUUCACGCAGAAAAUUCAUAAUUUAAUAGCUUCAAAUUUUUAUAGAUUUCACCUGUGAGACGAUUUAUAAUAAGUAAUUUAAAUACUCUGCAUUAACUAAUUUCGAUGCACAUAGUCCUAUGCAGAUUAAAUUUAUUAAUAUUUUCAGAAAUCAUAACCAGAUCAAGAUCUCUUAUCUGCUCCUCUUGUGCAACAUUUAUGACCACAAAUUAUCCCCACCGCUUUUUCGAUCACUUGAUUUCAAGCUGUGGCCAUUUAUGGGAAUGGUAUUAUACGUAUGUAUUACUUUAUUACAUUCAAUGUAAUAUUACUUGAGGUUUAACUGAAAGGUUUAGAUUCAACAAAAGAUAUACCGAAUCAAAUCUCUAUCAUUCAUGUUCAAUCUAGUACAAAGAUAAUUAUUAUAUACAUACAUCGAGUACGCGUAUACCAGGUCUAUUCCUAACUGGACACGUCCAAAUUGUAUUUUUUUUUUGGAAACGAGACCUUAAACGAUUAUUUUCACAUUUAGAAUAACCUCCUGUUAAUUGUUUACUCAUAUUUAGUUGAUAAUUAGCCAGAUUUUCAUGCGAUAAAGAAAUUAUGAAAUUUGAUUUUCUUGAAAACGAAGCCACAAAUGAAAAAGAUUUGUUCUAUAUUUUCGACUUAUUUUUUCAUGUACUCACUCAAUACUAAGACAAACUGUAUAUCUUCUAACUGAAAAUUUUCCUAAAGACUACUUUCAAGAGAUGAUCGUGCAUUCUCAUGAAAAAUGUGUACACGACGUACGUAUCGACUACCAUGGCAACUCAGGUAUUAAUUUUAAACAAGUUUUCAAUAAUGAACUUCACGAUCUACAUAGUUUGUGCCGCCUACUUCUCUUUUUCCAACACCUAACGUGCAUCGGCACGCUUUCGUGGCUCCCUCUGACGAGAAAUCGAUCUGCCGGAUCCCCAAUUGAAAAAAGCUCUUCCUUUCACUAUCGAAGAAAGCCAAUACACGCAUAGAAGAUCCUCCUACCAACGAUCUUUCCCUCGAUUCAUACGGGCGUUCCCUGUAAUUCUCUCGUUAGCCGAUUGGACGACUUUCUCUCUCCUUUCUUCUGUCAGAAUUUUCCGAGGUGCACCUUCAACACGGCCGAGAAGUUGGCUGAUACGUAUCUGAUCUCCUACGUGUCUUGGAACUUUAUGAAACUCCUUUUCUUUCUUCACUAUUAUACAUAACCUUUUUCGAAAAAUUUCAAUGUUAUGGAAAUGCUGAGAAAGUUAUGUUUAUGUAGUCAUCGCUUAUUAUAGUUAUUUCUUUACUAAUUUUCUUAUGCAUAUUACAUUUCGUUAGCAUCAUAUAGGAGAAACUUACUAUUAUUAAUUUUCUCAUCAUUGUUAUAAUAAAAAUGAAAGAACUAGAUUUAUUUCAGUCUUAAGUCUUAGGUUUCUUGUCUUGAUAUUACGUAACAGAGACGCAUUGAAAAUUUUACUUACAGCGAAUAUAACUAUCCAUUUCUCUCGAUAGAAUGAAAAAAUUUAUUUACUCAUAGCUUUUUUCUCUCGGAAGCAACCUAAGAUAUACCGUAAGAUGUAGGAUUAAUCCGAAAGAUUAUCAAUCGACGAGGUCAGACACAAACGCUGGAGUUGGAAACGAGGUCGUGCCACCUUUCUCUCAUUUCGAGAGAAGUGGCCGCUUCUGCGAAGGCGCGGUCGACGGAUUGAUCUCGAAAAGAGCACAUUAGGAACACAGCUUCUUUUCCUACGAAAUGUAUUGAGAAAGGGAGCAAACCUAAGUUUGUUUGAGGAUUAAGUUUUAAAUUUUAAUUGUUAAUGAAAUCAAUCGCUUCAUGUAGAGUAAGAAUUAAGUAUAUAAACAUAAAUCUUAGUACUGUUUAUAUUCUGUCAUUU